GGCUCUAUGGUCUAGUAGUAAGAUUCCGCUUUCGGGUUAGUCCAAAUUAUGACAUGUAUAGCGGAGGUCCCGGGUUCGAUUCCCGGUAGAGCCC
Molecule: transfer RNA, 94 nt
Organism: Pneumocystis murina B123
Lineage: Eukaryota; Fungi; Ascomycota; Pneumocystomycetes; Pneumocystales; Pneumocystaceae
Rfam family: tRNA
About the family: Transfer RNA (tRNA) molecules are approximately 80 nucleotides in length.
Source: Rfam